This is a long non-coding RNA of Pogoniulus pusillus (Red-fronted tinkerbird), 957 nucleotides long. RefSeq lists it as uncharacterized. Lineage: Eukaryota; Metazoa; Chordata; Aves; Piciformes; Lybiidae. The record is from RefSeq and is a predicted model, not a curated record. The transcript has 3 exons.
ACAGCAUUUACUCCCUUUCAUAGUGGCAGAAAUCAUAAACCCAAGAAUAUUUAAGAAGAAAUGAAUUAAGGAAGAAGAAUCACAUCAAUACUGGAAGAGCUGAGGCUUGCAAAGGGAUGUCACAAGGGAAAUGAGACAUCGGUUAUAUGCUGGAAAGUUCUACCUGGGAGUCACAUUCUGCUUCACCUCUGAUGACAAAUCCUUCCGUGGCCAUGUUUUCAGACGUCCUACUCUCAAGAGCAGAAAGGCCUCUCAAAGCUACAGGAAGGAGCGUUGCCUCAUACGCAAUUGGAUGUUGCUGCUUAGCAGUCUCAUCCAUCCGUGUUGCUACUGCGUAAGCAGUUGGACAAGUCUCCCAGUCUGGCAGUCACUGUCCUAAAGAAGGGGCUGUAUGUAAAUCAAUAGUCCAGGUGUUUCCUGGAUGGAAGAGUAAUGAGAUUAAAAAAUACAAAAUCGCCCAUGCAGGCUCUUGGCUCAUGAGCCUGCCCUAGCUGCUGCUCAUAAAAGCAGUUGCUGCCUGCUCAUCCUGAAGCAUCUCUUGCCCAUUCUGUCUUGGCAGAGAAACUUGGACACAUGCUUGCCUCAGUUUGCAAUGUGAUCUAAAAAGCCCUGUAAGAGUCUGCAGUGGGGGUUCCCAUGACAUGCUGGUUCAUGUCUGUCAUCUGUCCAUCAUUCUCCAACUAGCUUUUUUAUUCCUUAGUUUUCCAGCAGAAGGGAAGAGAGUGACCUUUAUUAGACAGGUGCUAAGAAGCACUUUGUUAACAAAGUGUCCAGUAGUGUCUGCACCUCUCACUCAAGAGUUUUUGGUUGUGGAUCUGUUUGUUUGUGAUUUAAAAAAAAAAAAAAUAUUUCUUCCCCCCACCCCAGCUUCAUACUUACAACAUGCUGGUGUCUGCCACUCUGGUGGCUUGUCUGAAGUCCAAUAAACAUGAUUGCAUAUCUGACUUGGAAUUUUCU